Molecule: unclassified non-coding RNA, 343 nt
Filed under: plant metagenome
Description: partial contains 5.8S ribosomal RNA, internal transcribed spacer 2, and large subunit ribosomal RNA
Source: RNAcentral
UAACUCUUAAUUAAACGACAUUGAAAUCACAAUCCCAAUAACAAUUAAACUAAAUCGCAACUUUUUUUACAAUCAACUACCAACUAUCAACCACCAGCCCUCAACUAUUAACACAAACCAUCAACUAUCAACCACCAUCUCCAACUCUUAGUCUUUCUUUUUAUACGCUUCAUUCAAUCCUUUCAAUACAUCGCUUGUUAUAUCGUAAGUAGAGUCUUUGUAGUAAAUCGUUCCGGGCUGAUAAGCAAUUAUAUAGGAGUAGCCUUUAUCAGCAUUAUACUGUUUAAGAAACUCUUCAAUUUUCUUGUUUACAUCCUGCAUUUUUUUAAAAGUGGCAUCCUGC